GGGAACAUGAUGGCCAGGUCUGUCUUUGUGCUUUAAAAGUCCUGUGCUCUGGCCCACCUGGGCUCCUCAAGGCAGAGCACGGUUUUCACUAUAAGGCAAGGAAAAAACAGGAAAGGAAAGAAACCAUGGAAGACCCAGAAAGGGGACAGAAAUGCUCCAGCAAAGUAGAGCCAGCCCGGGUUUAGUUUGUUGUGCUGUGGACAUGCUUGGGAACGAGGGAAGGGCCAUACCUAUCAUCUGUGCUGUGAACCGUACCGAGGAGAAGAACAGAUUCUUCCUUGGGAAACACUCCCACCCAACAGAACCAGGGAGACUGUCCCUCCGAGUCCAGGGAGAAGAGAGGUUCCUCAUCUCCCAGCACCGCUCAGUCACCACAGAACAGGGCACACCAUCCAGGCACGCCGUCCCACCAGCCCAAAGGGCAGCGACAGACUCUCAACACAGUCCAGUAACGUUCCGUUUUUCCUUCAAGAAAUAACUUCAAGGGAAGUUCGAACUCCUAAGAGAUCGAAUCAGGAUUAAUGCUAUGGCUUCCCCCCUUUACCUAAGCUCCUCCCAUGUCUUUAGUCCAGCUCUGGAGGGUGUGCCGGGUGCAGCCUGCGUGGGCUCUCUCUUCUGCUGGGCCGGGCGGUGCAAGGGCAGUCCAUGUCUGACCUGGGUCAACGCUGCUGGCUGCCAGCCAAGGGCCUGGCUUCUAGAGCCACUGGAGGGACCGUGAAAGAAUGUGUCAGCUCACACACUCAAAGACAGCCGAUCUCUCUCACCUCCGAAGAGCCUCAGGUGCCUUUCCUUUUCCGAAGGAGUCGAUAAUGUAGCUUCCUAAUCAGGACUUCCAUAUGUGCUACGAAGCCCCCCAGAUUUCACCUGACUUAGGAUGCUUUACUUAGUGUGACUGCAUUCUUUAUUAUAAUGUAUCUUAUUUAAGAAGGGGGCUGUAGCAUGAGGUAUAAGAAAUAGUAAAGCAGAAACUUGCAUGUUGCUUCAGAACAUUAUAGACGCCUCAGAGGCCCACAAGCAACCUCUGUGAUUAUAUCCCCAUCCCUCUACAUGAAAUUCUAAUGUAGUUUUGCAAUCUAUAUAUAACUUUGAAAAGUACAUAAUGCUGAAAACUCUAGGAGAAGUUUCCUAAGGAUGCUAUAAUUAUAAUUUCUAUUAACGGCAGUUCUCAAAAUGAUAAAAGAAUCAAGGAAACCUUAAAAGUUCUCCUCGUUCCCCUUCAUUCCUUCCCUAUUCUGCCCCUACCCCUUGGGGAGUUGUCUGGAGGGCAGGAAGCAUGGUAAUACUCCCCAGAGCUUAUAAUAGACAUUGGUGCUCCCCAAAUAUUAACAUGUUAAUACGCCCAACCACUUUGUGGGGGAGGCACCAUGAUCACCUCCCUCUGAGGCAUGGGGACGUGAAACCUAGAAACUGUGCAAGUGGGCAGAGGCUAUGAACCCAGGCCAGCCAGUUGCAGCACUCAUGCUCUUGGCCACUACGCUAUGUUGUGAUUCUCCGAGAUCUUGGUCUAUUUUUCAAUUAGGAAUGGGCUGUUUUUUCCCCGAAGAGACAUGGAUUUCCUUCCUCAUGAAUCCUUCUGGGUGGAGAGUCCACCUUUCCCUUCCCCACGCUUCCUCCCCACUUACCCUGCAGGUAACAGUGUUCACCCUGUGAGGUGACUUCCUUUCAAAUAUUAGCCAGCCCCACCUUCUAACAGUUACCUGCCCUGGUGCUUUCAGUGCCUCCGUGAAAGUUUAUCCCACUCCCCUGUGACUUAUGAGAGGGACAUUUCCUGGAAAUCUUGUGGAUGGACAUGUCACUGUGAUGAGGUGUUCAGAGUGUCUGAAUCACUCCUGUUGCCUGGCAACCUGUUUGUGUUUGGCCGGAGGCAGGUGACUCAGACACAGGUACACCCAGACACAGGGCAGAUAUGUACUCGGCACGACCGCCGAGUUCAUGUGUAACUUGGACACUGUUCUUUCACGUGUGCUGUUAGCAGGGGCGCCGUCAAUCCUUUCCAGUCAGGGAAUUCAAAACGCAGGACGCUGUGCGGGGCAUCAACAAAUCCCUUAUCGCAGAAAUACAGGCUACGUUAUUUUCCCUGCCGAGUUCUGAAGAAAAACUUUAAGACCAAAGUAAUUACAAAAUUCUUACAUAUGGAAGUGAACUGAAAUUAUCGGCUGGCAUGGAAGUUACUUUCCAUCCCUCUGAGAAUUAGUUCAUGAAUUCCGUGAAUAUAACAUAUUCCUAAACAGCACUGAGUCACUUGUUUUGACCUCAUACUUAAGAAUUUUUUUCAGGCAAACAGGGUUGACUCAUUUGGCCACACUCGCAGCCAGAAAACCUUUUACACAUAUACACAUACCUGGUAUUUUACCUGAAAGAACUGAUGACCAAAUAUAAGAGGCUUCAGAAUAGAAGGGAUUCACUCUCCAAUACCCACAUGAAUAGAGAGAUGUCAGAGUGGGCCUGAGGUCACCUCACUGGUUUCUGUCUUCAAAUUUAAGUUAGCAUGUGUGCCUACGUCACUCCAGAAGCCAACACAUUCUAGAAUAAAGCACCAUGGACUUUAUUUCCCCUAAUAUUUUAGGGACCCACCAUUGUUUCCUACUGAUGUCUGUUUUUUAAAUAUUCAAAGGAGAAAAAGUGGUUUUGAAACAAACAUACACACAUACCAGAGAGUGGGUUUUUUUUGCCCUUCUUUUCAGACACGCCUGCUCAAGACAUAGAAAGUAAGACCCAAGAAUGUACCUAAAUGGUACCUCUAAUCUUGGUGGGAAAGUCUUGAAUCCUAAAUUUAUUUAAUGCUUAUGGACUGAAGGAACAAACAUAGUUUAGGAAGUUGUUUUUUUUCUUCCCUGCGUCAAAUAAUAUUCAUCCUAACAGAUGGGUUCCAGUAUGCCUAUUAUCUAUAAGUACUAUUAAAAGUCUAAUACACAAUAUAAAUUUUACUUUGUUCUUGACAGCUGUAAAAGGGGUAUGUAAGUAUACUUAGCAAAGAUUUUCAUCUUAAACAUAUGUUAAAACUUAAUUUUCUCCAACUUUUUUUUGAAAGGCAUAUUUUAUGGGAAAAAAAAAAUAUUUCCAUGUCUAAAAACUUCUUGAAGUCAGCCAGCUAAACUCCACAGCUGACUUAAGAAAAAGGUGUUCUCGUUAUCUAGAAUUGGCUGACUGGUUACAAUUACCCCUGGCAAGCAAUUCUCCAAAGUAUUUGUAAGUCCUUAACCAUGCCUGAAGUAGGUUCUCCUAAUUUGGGGUUCAUAGUUGAUAAGUGAACCGGUGGAGUGCUAUAACAUGUUUGGGCUUGUACAUAUAACGGGAUAGUAAGCUCUGUUCCUCGGUUUCCCAAAACAGAGUUAUUUUUGGGAAUGAAGCUGCCAGCAGAAAGCUUAGGAUUUAAGUUCAUAAAUUUGUUGCUGACCAUCUGCUUCAUGCAAGUUUCAAUCACAGAAGAACAUUCGUUGUGGUCAGGAGAACAAAACAGGCCUUUGUCCCUGUCCCCGCAGAGCCUGUGGUCUAGUUGGAGAAACAAAUAACUAUAAUACAAGGAGAUAAAUGUUUGGAGAAUUAAAACCAAGACUCUAGGAACACACUGCAAAGGCACACCCCGUAGUUUGGGAAGGUCAGGUAAGGUUUCCUAGGGGAGAGGGCCUCUUUAAGUCAGAUCUGAAAAGUGAAAGAGUCAGGCAGUGGGGUGGGGUUAUUUAAGACAGAGAAAUAGUAUGCGCAGAGGCCCUACGCAACAAAGGAGAAUGUGGUCUGUAUAAACGAGAACAGAAGGAAGGUCAGCUUGGCUGAAGUGGAGAGGCAGGCUCUUAAAGAACCUGAUAAGGCCCUUUUAUGAUAUUUGGAUUUUGCCCCCAGGAUAAUGGGAUCAGGGAGUGACACGGAUCAGUUUUGUAUUUUGUUAUGAUCCCACUUAGGAUUCCUGACUCUGAGAAACUAAGGAAAUGAGCGUGUCUUACACUCAGCAGAAAACGAUCAGGUCACCCCUGUCCUCAAGGGUAAAUGUACAAGGUUCUUCAUGUAAUCAAUUUCCUGUAGCACCAGUGAGAUGUUACCAUGUGACCCAGGAGAGCAGAGCGGCUAAGCGCUCAGCCUGUGAAGACAGAUGACUGAAAUUCAAACUCUCUCAGUUCUACCCAACACUUAACUUUGGGCAAGUCCCGAAACCCUCUACAUCUCAAAGUGGACUUGAAAGUAGUUACCUCCUAAGACUGCCCUGCAAACAAAGCUCCUUGUGAACCAGUAAGAACACAGCUGCCGUAAUGCCCUCAGUCUCGUCAUUAUCAUCACGGAGGCCAGUCAACCACGCACAGGCAUUACCGACCACUGCUUUAGACUACACUCGAUAUUUUUAAAUCAUAUAAUCACUUUUCUUUAGAAGCCAUCUAAUUUCUAUAGGAAAAGUAGCUUACAGAAAUAAGUCUUUGCGUUUAACACUUAGCAGUUUUCCAUUUGAAUAUUUUAACACUGAAACUGGGAUGCUAAGAAAAUACAAUUUUUUUAAAAUAAGCUUUAUUUCAAUCUUGGGGCCUUAUGCCCUAUUCGGACAAAGAUCUGCUAUCCUAAGUGAAGUUUCUAGGACUAUUUGCAGAUAAGCUUCCGAAUCAGAGCAUAGUUAGAAGUCAGACUGCCUAACUAAACUUCUAGGGCCAUGAGUGUAAGGGAAUUUGAAUAAAUCCAAUUAUCUAAUAAUCAGAUUAUAGAAAAUUCAAACGAGAAAUAUUUAAGCCUAAAUAGAGACAUGGAGAGGACCAAAGGACCAGUUGUGGAUUCACCAUCAAACGUAAAACCCCCCACUAUCCACAGCCUUCUUGCUGCCUUUAUUUGUUAGAUGUAAAUGUUAACUCACUGUCCAGAAAUCUGAGGAACUACACAUUUUACAACAGAACACAGACUACAAGUCAAGAUAUAAUGCCAAAGGUUAAUUAACUGCAUUCUAAAAAAUAUUUGUGUCACUCACCACUAAUACUUCAGACAGACAGGAUAUUAAAAUCUUUGCAGAGCUGAUUGAGUCGGGGUCCAAGACCACUCCCAGUUCAAUGAUUCACGAGGACUCACAGGACCCUGCCUAUAGCCGUAUUCAUGGCUAUGAUUUGUUACAGCAAGAGGAUACAAAUCAGCAAAGAAAAAAAAGGCCCCCCAUGGGAUAAAAUGCAGAGGCAAUCAGGAGCAAAUGUCCAAGAGUCCUGUCCCAGGAGAAUCACACAGGUUGUGCUUAAUUUCCUAGCACUGAGUUGUGACAGUACCUGUGAAAUACUGUCUACCAGGGAAGCUCAUUAGUGACCCAGCGUCUAGGGUGUCUUUCGGGCUGGUCACACAGAAACCUGCCGUUGGGCAUGUACCCAAACCCCAUACUCCUGGAAUGCAAGCAGGUAUUCAACAGAAACUGUCUUGUUGGUACAGUUUAGGCACCGUGAGCCACGCUGAUGAGGGAAUGGUAGUAACCCUCCCCAAAUCGAAGUUCCCAGACACCAGCCAAGGGCCAAGGAUGCAAGCAGGCCUUUCAAAGAGAGCAAUCACAGGCCUGCUGUGUUAACUCAUAUUUGUGUACUGUUCUGUUUCAAUCAGCAAUGUAAGACCAAAUUAAGGAGAAAGGUCUUACUUUUAGCAGUUCACUCAGGUACAUGAGCCUGAGAAGCACUCUUAUCCUACAUAUUUUCAGUAUUUAAAAUGUAGCAUUUUUAAUGUGGACAACCAUGGUCUUGAAUUACAUAAAAGAAAAUUAAAGAUGGUCUUUUGUACAACAAAAGAAAAGCUGACUUCUACUCCUGUUUACUUUUCUGAGCAUCCUCUUUUAUAAAAUACCACCGAAAAUUCCAAACAAACAGUGUUCCUAAACUGAAACUACUCUCAGAAACCAUUUAGCCUACCAGAUUAGCGAUAAAAUUCAGACCCCAAUAACAGCUACCCUCAUAAGCUUCUAGCAGGGCUGGAAAUAAGAAAAUAUCCCUCUGGGAGGCAAUCUGAUAAGAUACCUUAUCAAAAUUAUACAUAUGCCUUAUGACCUGCAAUUCUGCUCUGCAAAUGUAUACAUGUAAUAAUUGUGUAUAUGCAGAAUAACGCAUGUACAAAGUUAUUUAUUGCGGCAUUGUUUAAGAGCAAAGGACUGGCCACAACCCAAAUGUCCAUCAAUAGGUCACUAUUUAAAUUGUGGUACAUCCAUACAAUGGACUACUCUGUAACUGCUGAGGAAAAAAAAGAAUGAGGAAGCUCUCUUAGUGCUGAUUUGUUAAACCCUUCUACGUAUAUUCAGAGAAAAACAUACAUUGCACAGAAGUACAUUUACCUUAUGAAAACAGCACAUAUGAAUACAAAUCGUGUACAGAGAAACUCUGGAAGGAUGCAUCAGACACUGAUAACAGGCUGGGAGAGGGCAGUGGAGGCAGAAUUUGGGCAUGAUCUGUGAACCUAAAAAAAUAUAUUAAAAGGACACACUUGACAAGUGAUACGUCUUUCUUUUCAAAGUCCAGGUUAUAUCAAGCUGGCACCUUUUUGCAUGUGUGGAUCAUUUUACAAGGCUUCUGUAAUUUCUGUGGUGGUUAAAUGAGAGCAUAAGAUCGCUUUAUCUUGUUUCCAGAUUGGGUUUCCACCCUCUUCCUUUCUGAGGAGCCUGCCUGUCAGCUUGAAGGGGGUUUCCCCAGGACACCUGACAGUCAAUAAAGUUCUCUGUGCCUCCCUUUGCCCAUUUGCCUGCUGAGGAAAUUUGGGAACUUCUUAAAAGCUCCAUUUCUGAAAGCAGGGAUUUUGUUUUGUUCACUGCCUUAUUCGCAACACUGAACAGAGUGCCUGGCACACAGAAAUUGCUCAGUAAGUAUUUGUUGAAUAAAUGAGUUCUUUUCUUCAUCCAGCUUCAAUGGAACAGACACUACCAGACAAAGAGGGAGAUAUCAUUGGGGUCAAAUAUUCAGAAAUAGCUGUCAUUCCUAGUAUUUGCUCUAUAUAGGCAUUCUAAUCUGAGCAACAUUCCUAGAAUUAUUUUGAAUCUUACAGAAGACAAACAAAUAAGCCUAUAGAAUGCUGUGCUGAACAAUGGCUCUUAAAUAUUCAUAAAAUUUUUAUUUUUAAUUAACUUGGGAUUACAAGACCCUGGAGUACAUCUUAGGACUUAAGUCUUUUUAGGCAAACACCACAUUAAUUAGUAAUGAUAAAAAAGAAUGGCUGUUAGAAGAGUCAAAUGAGCCCCCAGUCAUAAGGUGCCCAUAAGCUGUAUAGAAGAGAAAAUAUUUUGCAUUAAAAAUGUAACUGCUGGGGCACGUGGGUGGCAAGGUCAGGUAAGCCUCAGACUCUUGGUGUUGGCUCAGGUU
This is a long non-coding RNA of Ailuropoda melanoleuca (giant panda), 7286 nucleotides long. RefSeq lists it as uncharacterized. Lineage: Eukaryota; Metazoa; Chordata; Mammalia; Carnivora; Ursidae. The record is from RefSeq and is a predicted model, not a curated record. The transcript is spliced from 3 exons.